This is a non-coding RNA of Myodes glareolus (Bank vole), 4095 nucleotides long. Lineage: Eukaryota; Metazoa; Chordata; Mammalia; Rodentia; Cricetidae. The record is from RefSeq and is a predicted model, not a curated record.
CCAUCCUACGGGUGCCGAGUGGGUGCGCGAGCUCAGUGCGCCUGCGAGCCGUCCCUGCAUCCCGCGCGCAUGGGGCGUUACUAACGGACAACUCCUUCCUCUGGGAGCUCAGAUACAGGGAUGCUUCGGGAAUUGUGGAUCCUCUUGCCCGUUAUUGACUAAUCCCCUCGGACCCAGGCCCUGGAGAUGGUGAAGGGACCGGGAGGUGAAUCUAGGUAGCUGCAGCUGUGGUUUUAGCUAAGAACAGCGCGAAACCUAUUGAAGAAUGUGUUUCCAGCUCACCUCAGUUUAAAAAAAAAAAAAAAAGCAAAAAAACCAAACCAAAACAACAAAAAAAAACCUAUCCGGAAUGGACGCACAGACAGAUUCGCUGACUUGACAGUCGAGUAAUAUCGAUCUGGGAAAAAAAAAAAAUAAAACCAAAAACGACAAUUGGUGCACGUUAAUUUGAACCAAAUCUCCUAGGAGCCAAGACUAAAGGAUCAGAGCUCACCAAAGGAGAUUGCAACCCGGGGUACGAGUUCCUGAGAACAUGCUGUAAAUACGCCAGCGUAUUUAAUGUCACUUGGAACCUGCAAGUUAGGUAACAUCCAGAUCUCCUUCCCAAAUGAAGGAUCGUGGCACAGAUAUCCUUGGAUGGCCUGGACCUCAUCGCAUCGAACAGCCUGGCUUUGGACUCAUUGGAGGUCAUAUUGCCUCAGUUUCCAGACUGCUGGAAUUCUAGGCAUGUGCCACCAUGCACAGCUGUGUUCUGUAUUUUGAGACAGGGGCUCACCUUCUAACCCAGCUGUAUUGCAGCAAGCCUCCUGUCUGGUGUGGGUUUUCAGGUGGAUAGAACCACACCCAACUUACUUUCUGAAUCUUAGGAUGUUUUGGCAUUCCCCAAAGCUUGAAGGCUUUGGGGGAGACUUAUGCUUUUAGGGUAGGUCAUUGUUUGGGGCCACAAAAAAAGAACACCCCCCCCUCUACCAGGGGCGUGGCUAACCUAAACAAACCAACCAAUCCUGAGGCUGUGCUCCCAACAACUUCCUGAUUUAAGUCUCACACUCAAACCAGUUUUUCUCUUCCCCAAACUUACCCAGGGCCAGGUAUCAGGCAACCAGAUACCACUCCUGUACCCAAAGUCACUUAACUGUUCCAGUUUGCCAAUGCUGAGCAAUUUGUUGUGCCCAGGUGUGCCUUUUCCUCAGCAACGCCAGCAAAGACUUGACCUCGAACUUUGUCCACAUUCUACUUUGUUGUUGUAAGAGCCCGGGUUACUCUGCACCUUUCCUGGUAGCCUACUGACCUUGAACUUGUGAUUCUCCUGUGACAGGCUCCUGAGCGCUGAGAGCGCUGUGUAUUCUCUCAUUAACUUGUGCUCUACUACUUAGUAGAGUAGUAGAGCCUGGUAUUUCCCCUUGGCCCCGAUUAGCCAUGGGCCACUCCUUCUCUGGGUGGGAUCUGUGACUGUAGAACCAUCUUCCUUCCAAGUUUCCUUCUAUCCCCUCCUGGGGUUGUAAAAUCUUUACCAACCCACCUUCAGCUUCUUCAUCCUUCAUAAGGACAGUUGUCUCAGAAAGGGGCUGUGGGCAUAGGAAAGGUGAUAAGCCAAAAUGCCUUAACUUGCCUUGAGAAAUAGAAACUCAGAGACUAUUGGGAUUCUCCUCUUUCCGUGGAGAUCCUCUUGGUGGGGGACUGGCAACAUGACUACAAGAGUCAGAGGUCCUGGGACCUGAUGACUUGGUCACUACCUGUCACACCAACACACCUCCUAGAGACAAAGAUGAGGGAUUGUUAUUAAGAAAGGAUACUAGGGGCCAGAAGGAUGGCUCAGUGGGCAAACCCUGAUGACCCAAGUUCUAUCCUUAAGACCCACAUGUUAAAACAAGUUGACUCCUCCAGGGUGUCCUCUGAUCUCCACAUGUGCACUGAGGCCUGCAUGCCUACAUACCUUCAACAUUUAGAGAAAGGUCAUUAGGCCAAGGAACAAGCACUGUUGGCAGAGUGCUACCCUAAUGUUCAGGAAGCUGUGGUUUCCGUCUGCCAAACUACAGAAAGUCUGGCUGGGAACUCAGUGCUGUACUCCUGCACUCCAGAAAGUUGGGUAGCUGAAUCAGGAGUUACUGUCUUCUCUGGGGGCACAGUGAAUCCUCUGCCAUCCUGCAUAGCUACAUGAGACCAUGAAAUGCCAUUAAAGGCUCUCUCAGAAUUUCUGCUCAUUUUCAUUCUUUUCAAUCUCUGUGUAUUGUAUAUAAAUGGGGGCAACACAUGACAUGGUGCAUGUGUGCAGGCCACAGGACCUCCCUGGGCAUUGAAUCUUGUCUUUUACCUUUACCUGAGGCAGGGUCUCUUGUUCUCCUUUGCAUAUUCCAGGCUGCCUGCCCUCUUACCCUAGAAGAGCUGGGAAUACUGCUGUACACUAUUCCACUUGCUGGGAUUAGAGGCCCACAUCACCAUCUGCUGGGUUUGACCCUCAUUAUCUUCUGCUACUUUAUCCAAUCUUGGACUUCCCAUUGACCUGCCCACCAUGAAUUAACCUUUCUCUGUGUGGGAUCUGUGACUGUAUAACCAUCUCCCUUCCAAGUCGGCUUCAGGUCCUCUUCGGAUUAUGAAGUCUUUUACCAUUCCACUCCAACACCUGCAUCUUUAGUAUGCUCUGUAGGUGUAGAGGAAAAGGGCUGUUGGGGCACAGGACAGAUAAUGAGCCAGCUAUCUAAUACACCUCAAGAGAUAGAGGGAAGAGACUUGGGACUUCUCUCUGGAGAGAGAUCCUAAUGGUGAAAGGCAGUGAAGGGAAAUGACCCAACACCUGUAAUCCCAGCUCCUGGGGAGGCAGAGGCAGGAGGAGCAGGUCAUCCUGUGCUACACUGCAAUGUUGAGGUCAGCCAGGGCGACCUGAAUCCCAGUCUCAGAAAAGUUUAAAGAAAAAUCAACAAAACAAAGGGGAUGCUCAGGAUGGUAUCCCCACCCCCAAAUCAGGCCACACCCCCACCAGAAACCGGCUGUGACCUGACAGCUCUCAGAGAGUUUGGUUCUCUCUGUCCCCAGUGCAGCUAGAAGCCCAACCCCUCUGAUGUCCAGACAACCUUGACUUGCAGGAAAGCAACACUCUCUUCUCCCAUUGUUCUUUGGAUUUGAACUGUCUCUUUCCCUUCAGGGUUCCCAUCAUGCUGUGGAUGGAGGCUCUUUCCUAUGCUCUCCCAAUUCAAUCCCCAUCAUGGUGGCUUCUAUCCAUGAGCCUGUGGCUCACUCUAAUAAAGCUCUAAAGGUGAAUCACUUCAGCUUUGUUUCCUGUGAUCUUGUCUUUAUCUGUUAUUUACAUCAGGCAGCUUGUCUCUUAGGAGUUGCUAGAGGCAAUUCACAGCUCUUUGAAAAAAUACCUUUAGAGCCAGCCAUGGUGGCCUUGCCUAUCAUAUUAGCACUUAGGAGUUGGAGCCAGAAGGAUCAAGACUUCAGGGUGAUCCUCAGCUAUAGGCCAACCUGGGCCACAUGAUCCCUGAAGACAACAACAAAGGUGGUCUUUUGAGUUGGGGACAGUCAGCCAAGCGACCCUUUCACAGUGACUGCACUGUCUUCAUCACAAUCCCACUGUUUUAUCCUUUCUAAGCACUGCAAAGACCCAGCAGCUUUGGAGGACCACCACAGCCAUGGCUAAAGACUAGCACAGACAGCCUGCACUGACCUGAAAAUCGGCAAGAGAGCUGAGUACACUCUACAUGACCCUCUCUGCAGCUACUUUUAUCCCAGCCAGAAAGGUUCCAAUAGAUAACCUUCUGAAGGCUUGUGAUUGAUGUAACCACAAUCCUUAAUUUGAGUGACACAUUGUGUCAUUGAUAUAAUACCGCUGCCAUACACUAUACCCUGGGUAAAUAACUAGGCUGCAAGCUUAAUUUUUUUUUUAAAGUUUUGAGACAAGAUCUGGACUCAAGCUGUGUUCUUGUGAGCUCCUCAAGAGUCUAGUGGAUGGAUUCUGAUUUGGACAUUUAAGACAUCCUGUGUUCUGACUUCCCUGGGUGCUUCGCCUAGGACUUGUAAAGCAAAUGAUUCCCACCUUUCUGUCUUCAUCGUGACUCCCCUGGCACCAGGCAAGUACUUCUUUUCCUUUCCUUCCUU